UACGUAGGGUGCAAGCGUUGUCCGGAAUUAUUGGGCGUAAAGAGCUCGUAGGCGGUUUUGUCGCGUCUGCUGUGAAAACCCGAGGCUCAACCUCGGGCCUGCAGUGGGUACGGGCAGACUAGAGUGCGGUAGGGAGAUUGGAAUUCCUGGUGUAGCGGUGAAAUGCGCAGAUAUCAGGAGGAACACCGGUGGCGAAGGCGGGUCUCUGGGCCGUAACUGACGCUGAGGAGCGAAAGCAUGGGGAGCGAACAGG
Molecule: ribosomal RNA, 253 nt
Filed under: uncultured bacterium
Lineage: Bacteria
Description: partial 16S ribosomal RNA
Rfam family: Bacterial small subunit ribosomal RNA
Source: RNAcentral